RNAcentral lists this ribosomal RNA (466 nucleotides) under uncultured bacterium. RNAcentral's name for it is "partial 16S ribosomal RNA". It matches the Rfam family "Bacterial small subunit ribosomal RNA", at positions 28 to 507 of the family's 1533-position model. The record is from RNAcentral.
GAUGAACGCUGGCGGCGUGCUUAACACAUGCAAGUCGAACGAUGAAGCCCAGCUUGCUGGGUGGAUUAGUGGCGAACGGGUGAGUAACACGUGAGUAACCUGCCCUUAACUCUGGGAUAAGCCUGGGAAACUGGGUCUAAUACCGGAUAGGAGCGUCCACCGCAUGGUGGGUGUUGGAAAGAUUUAUCGGUUUUGGAUGGACUCGCGGCCUAUCAGCUUGUUGGUGAGGUAAUGGCUCACCAAGGCGACGACGGGUAGCCGGCCUGAGAGGGUGACUGGCCACACUGGGACUGAGACACGGCCCAGACUCCUACGGGAGGCAGCAGUGGGGAAUAUUGCACAAUGGGCGCAAGCCUGAUGCAGCGACGCCGCGUGAGGGAUGACGGCCUUCGGGUUGUAAACCUAUUUCAGUAGGGAAGAAGCGACAGUGACGGUACCUGCAGAAGAAGCACCGGCUAACUACGUG